AACGCACCUUGCACCCUUUGGUAUUCCGAAGGGUAUGCUCGUUUGAGUGUCAUUGUACUCUCAACCACCUCAGCAAUGUUGGUGGCUUGGAUGUUGGGUGUUUGCAGGCUCUCUGAAAAGAGGGUCGGCUCUCCUGAAAUGCAUUAGUGGUAUCUGGAGCUACUAGGUGUGAUAACUAUCUAUGCCUUUUUUUGCAUGAACAGAUUGUGCUGCUUACAACGUAACAACAAUUAUGACCAACUUGACCUCAAAUCAGGUAGGACUACCCGCUGAACUUAAG
RNAcentral lists this unclassified non-coding RNA (280 nucleotides) under uncultured Inocybe. RNAcentral describes it as "sequence contains 5.8S rRNA gene". Lineage: Eukaryota; Fungi; Basidiomycota; Agaricomycetes; Agaricales; Cortinariaceae. The record is from RNAcentral.